GGGCAGGGAGUUCAUCAGGGAAAGAACGGCACUCACAUGCGCGCGGCUGUGCUAAAGAGUGCAGGUGCGGGUUCGACGCCCGCCCGCCCCA
Molecule: transfer RNA, 91 nt
Filed under: Caudoviricetes sp.
Lineage: Duplodnaviria; Heunggongvirae; Uroviricota; Caudoviricetes
Description: tRNA-Ser
Source: RNAcentral